CCCAGGUCAAGAGAUCAUGGGGAAGCCUUUGCAAACAGGUGUGUCUUCAAAAGCCAGUGGAAUGCCAUUACAGGCAGGGCCUCUCAUAUUUCACUGCAUUCCACAGCACUGGUGCCACCAGUGAAAAUGAAAAUUCCUCCAAUAGCUAAUAUGUGGCUGGCCAAUUUAUUUACAUGUGGCAAAAUAGGAUAUAAAAGUUUGAAACUAGUGAGUAGUGCUGUGCCAAAACUAUUUAUUCAGUUUUGUUUUCACUGUUAUCCUUAAAUACUUCCAUUUUCCAUUGUGCUUUUUAGAGUUCCCUUAACGUUUUCUCUACCUUUUAAAUCUAAAAUUAGGUCUCUACAGUUUCCUCAGAGCAUGAUAUUCUGGAGGUAUUUUUUUUCCGAGGGGGGGAAUCAUUUUUGUGUAAUGUGAAAGUAUGUUUGACAAAAGAUUGAGAGGGAACUUCUUUAGAUUUUGGAAGAAUAACAUUUCUCUGUGUAAAUACUUACAGCUCUGAUGAGUUGGCAUCAAGUAUAUGUCAUAGAAUAAUAGAAUUAUAGAGUUGGAAAGGAUCCUCUAGGGGUCAUUUAGUCCAACCCCCUGCAAUGCAGGGAUCUCAACUAAAGCAUCAAUGAUAGAUGGCCAUCCAACCUCUGCUUAAAAACCUCUAAUGAAGGAGAGUCCACCAUUUUCCAACGACAUCCGUUCCACGGUUGAACAGCUUUUACUGUCGGAAAGUUCUUCCUGGUGUUUAAUAGGAACCUCCUUUCUUGUAGGGAUGCAGGUGGCACUGUGGUCUAAACCACUGAGUCUCUUGGGCUUGCUGAUCAGAAGGUCGACGGUUCGAAUCCCCAUGACGGGGUGAGCUCCCGUUGCUCUGUCCCAGCUCCUGCCAACCUAGCAGUUCGAAAGCACGUCAAAGUGCUUCCCGGCGGGAAGGUAAACAACAUUUCCAUGCGCUGAUCUGGUUUUAGUCAUGCUGGCCACAUGACCCGGAAAAACUGUCUGCGGACAAACAUCAGCUCCCUCGGCUAGUAAAGCGAGAUGAGCGCCGCAACCCCAGAGUCAUUUGCGACUGGACUUAACUGUCAGGGAUCCUUUACCUUUUACCUUUCUUAUAACUUGAAGCCAUCGGAUGAAGUCCUACCCUCCAGAGCAGGAGAAAACAAGCUUGUUCCCUCUUCCAUGGGACAGCCCUUGAGAUAUUUAAAUAUGUCUAUCAUAUCUCCUCUCAAUCUCCUCUUUUCCAGACCAACAUACCCAACUUCCUCAAGGCUUGGUUUCCAGACCGUCAAUCAUCUUGGUUGCCCUCCUCUGCACACGUUCCAGCUUGUCAAUGUCCU
This is a non-coding RNA of Podarcis lilfordi (Lilford's wall lizard), 1325 nucleotides long. NCBI's taxonomy places the organism in Eukaryota, Metazoa, Chordata, Lepidosauria, Squamata, Lacertidae. The record is from the annotation of a GenBank genome assembly.